This is a non-coding RNA of Glossina morsitans morsitans, 45 nucleotides long. The record is from Rfam. NCBI's taxonomy places the organism in Eukaryota, Metazoa, Arthropoda, Insecta, Diptera, Glossinidae.
UCCUUGGUUCCACUAGGAACCAAAAAUAAAUUAAUUCAAUAUUUA